CAGUAGCCGCGGGAAUACGUAGGGUGCAAGCGUUAAUCGGAAUUACUGGGCGUAAAGGGAGCGUAGGCGGAUCGUUAAGUUGGGGGUGAAAGCCCGGGGCUCAACCUCGGAACUGCCUUCAAUACUGGCGAUCUUGAGUAUGAGAGAGGUGUGUGGAACUCCGAGCGUAGAGGUGAAAUUCGUAGAUAUUCGGAAGAACACCAGUGGCGAAGGCGACACACUGGCUCAUUACUGACGCUGAGGCUCGAAAGCGUGGGGAGCAAACAGGAUUAGAUACCCCAGUAGUCCCUGUCUCUUAUAC
This 301-nucleotide ribosomal RNA is filed under the name uncultured bacterium. RNAcentral describes it as "partial 16S ribosomal RNA". It matches the Rfam family "Bacterial small subunit ribosomal RNA", at positions 509 to 807 of the family's 1533-position model. The record is from RNAcentral.